AAGAUAUAUGGAUUUUGAAAUAA
This 23-nucleotide small nuclear RNA is filed under the name Arabidopsis thaliana (thale cress). RNAcentral's name for it is "snRNA_06911". Lineage: Eukaryota; Viridiplantae; Streptophyta; Magnoliopsida; Brassicales; Brassicaceae. The record is from RNAcentral.